GGAAUAGUGUUCAUUGGUAAGAUAAGACAAUUGCUAAUUGUUCGGGUGUUAGCAGCCCUUAGGUGUUCGAUUCACCUCUAUUCCG
This 85-nucleotide transfer RNA is filed under the name Amanita pseudoporphyria. RNAcentral's name for it is "tRNA-Ser". The record is from RNAcentral. RNAcentral also lists the same sequence under 4 other names. Lineage: Eukaryota; Fungi; Basidiomycota; Agaricomycetes; Agaricales; Amanitaceae.